AGUGGCAGACGGGUGAGUAACACGUGGGAACAUGCCCAAAGGUACGGAAUAUUCUCGGGAAACUGGGAGCAAUACCGUAUGUGCCCGAAAGGGGAAAGAUUUAUCGCCUUUGGAUUGGCCCGCGUCGGAUUAGCUAGUUGGUGGGGUAAAAGCCUACCAAGGCGACGGUCCGUAGCUGGUCUGAGAGGACGACCAGCCACACUGGGACUGAGACACGGCCCAGACUCCUACGGGAGGCAGCAGUGGGGAAUCUUGGACAAUGGGCGCAAGCCUGAUCCAGCCAUGCCGCGUGGAUGAUGAAGGCCUUAGGGUCGUAAAAUCCUUUCGCCGAGGACGAUAAUGACGGUACUCGGAGAAGAAGCUCCGGCUAACUUCGUGCCAGCAGCCGCGGUAAUACGAAGGGGGCUAGCGUUGUUCGGAUUUACUGGGCGUAAAGCGCGUG
Molecule: ribosomal RNA, 442 nt
Filed under: uncultured Alphaproteobacteria bacterium
Lineage: Bacteria; Pseudomonadati; Pseudomonadota; Alphaproteobacteria
Description: bacterial SSU rRNA
Rfam family: Bacterial small subunit ribosomal RNA
Source: RNAcentral